GGCUAUGUAGCUCAGCUGGUUAGAGCACGGGACUCAUAAUCUCGGGGUCGGUGGUUCAAGUCCACCCAUAGCCA
Non-coding RNA from Gammaproteobacteria bacterium SG8_31, 74 nucleotides. Lineage: Bacteria; Pseudomonadati; Pseudomonadota; Gammaproteobacteria. The record is from Rfam.